GCCGACUUAGCUCAGCUGGCAGAGCAUCUGAUUUGUAAUCAGAGGGUCGGAGGUUCGAAUCCUCUAGUCGGCACCA
This 76-nucleotide transfer RNA is filed under the name Lactobacillus sp. RNAcentral's name for it is "tRNA-Thr". It matches the Rfam family "tRNA". Rfam says of the family: Transfer RNA (tRNA) molecules are approximately 80 nucleotides in length. Their secondary structure includes four short double-helical elements and three loops (D, anti-codon, and T loops). RNAcentral also lists the same sequence under 12 other names. Lineage: Bacteria; Bacillati; Bacillota; Bacilli; Lactobacillales; Lactobacillaceae. The record is from RNAcentral.